This 256-nucleotide ribosomal RNA is filed under the name uncultured bacterium. RNAcentral's name for it is "partial 16S ribosomal RNA". It matches the Rfam family "Bacterial small subunit ribosomal RNA", at positions 97 to 353 of the family's 1533-position model. The record is from RNAcentral.
GGCGGGCGGGUGAGUAAUGUCUGGGAAACUGCCUGAUGGAGGGGGAUAACUACUGGAAACGGUAGCUAAUACCGCAUAACGUCGCAAGACCAAAGAGGGGGGACCUUCGGGCCUCUUGCCAUCGGAUGUGCCCAGAUGGGAUUAGCUAGUAGGUGGGGUAACGGCUCACCUAGGCGACAAUCCCUAGCUGGUCUGAGAGGAUGACCAGCCACACUGGAACUGAGACACGGUCCAGACUCCUACGGGAGGCAGCAUG